Molecule: ribosomal RNA, 294 nt
Filed under: Daphnia galeata
Lineage: Eukaryota; Metazoa; Arthropoda; Branchiopoda; Diplostraca; Daphniidae
Also listed under: 1 other name
Description: partial 28S ribosomal RNA
Rfam family: Eukaryotic large subunit ribosomal RNA
Source: RNAcentral
UCAUUCUGACCUCAGUUUAGAUGAGACUACCCGCUGAACUUAAGCAUAUCAGUAAGCGGAGGAAAAGAAACUAACAAGGAUUCCCUUAGUAGCGGCGAGCGAACAGGGAUGAGCCCAGCACCGAACCUCGCGCCCGGUUGAGCGGGUGCCGAGGAAUGUGGUGUUCGGGAGGAUCGUGCGCGCCUGUCCGGUAUAUAUCGUCCAAGUCUUCAUGAACGAGGCGAGCAAACCACAGAGGGUGUCAGUCCCGUAGCUUAGACGAGCCGAGACCGUGCAUCGGAUCCCUUCCCAAGA